GGCCUAUUGAAUAUAAUUUUAGGUCGAUCUGCCCAAUGAUUUAAAAUUUAAUGGCUGCGGUAUUUUGACUGUACAAAGGUAGCAUAAUCAAUUGUUUUUUAAUUGGAAACUGGAAUGAAAGAAUUAAUGAGAUAUAUACUGUCUCAUAUAUAAUAAAUGAAUUUAAAUUUUUAGUUAAAAUGCUUAAAUUAUUUUAUGGGACGAUAAGACCCUAUAGAAUUUUAUAUUAAUAUAAAUAGUUAUGUUUAUAAAAUUUUUAUAUUAAUAUUUAGUUGGGAGGAUUAGUAAAUUUAAGAAACUUUACUUUAAAUUUAAACUUUGAUUUAAGAAUUUUUUUGAUCUUGUAUUAUAAAAAUAAGAGUAAAUUACCUUAGGGAUAACAGCGUAAUAUCUUUUUAAAGGUCAUAUUAAUAAAGAUGAUUGCGACCUCGAUGUUGAAUUAAGAUAAAUUUUAGAUGGAGAAGUCUAAAAAUUAAGUCUGUUCGACUUUUAGAAUCUUACAUGAUUUGAGUUCAAAUCGACGUGAGU
Molecule: ribosomal RNA, 528 nt
Filed under: Bombus trifasciatus
Lineage: Eukaryota; Metazoa; Arthropoda; Insecta; Hymenoptera; Apidae
Description: partial 16S ribosomal RNA
Rfam family: Bacterial large subunit ribosomal RNA (bases 376-528)
Source: RNAcentral